UGCCGGACCUGACUGCUAUCGGAUUGGUACUAAGCCAUGCGAGUGAUCGUAGCAAUACGACGCAGACGGCUCAGUAACACGUAGUCAACCUAACUCAUGGAGGGGGAUAAUCUCGGGAAACUGAGGAUAAACCCUCAUAGAUAAUGGUGCCUGGAAUGGCCCAUUGUUGAAACAGUUUACUGCCGUGGGAUGGGACUGCGGCCUAUCAGCUUGUUGGUGAGGUAAUGGCCCACCAAGGCUAUAACAGGUACGGGCUCUGAGAGGAGAAGCCCGGAGAUGGGUACUGAGACACGGACCCAGGCCCUAUGGGGCGCAGCAGGCGAGAAACCUUAGCAAUGUGCGAAAGCACGACUGGGUCAGUCCGAGUGAUUUCUGAUAAAGGAAUCUUUUGCCCGUUGUAAACGCACGGGCGAAUAAGGGGUGGGCAAGUCUGGUGU
This 437-nucleotide ribosomal RNA is filed under the name uncultured archaeon. RNAcentral's name for it is "bacterial SSU rRNA". It matches the Rfam family "Archaeal small subunit ribosomal RNA", at positions 15 to 458 of the family's 1478-position model. The record is from RNAcentral.